AUUGAACGCUGGCGGCAUGCCUUACACAUGCAAGUCGAACGGCAGCACGGGUGCUUGCACCUGGUGGCGAGUGGCGAACGGGUGAGUAAUACAUCGGAACGUACCUUACCGUGGGGGAUCACGCAGCGAAAGCUGUGCUAAUACCGCAUACGCACUGAGGGGGAAAGCGGGGAAUCGCAAGACCUCGCGCUAUUAGAGUGGCCGAUGCCUGAUUAGCUUGUUGGUGGGGUAAAAGCCCACCAAGGCGACGAUCAGUAGCUGGUCUGAGAGGACGAUCAGCCACACUGGGACUGAGACACGGCCCAGACUCCUACGGGAGGCAGCAGUGGGGACUUCUGGACAAUGGGGGCAACCCUGAUCCAGCAAUGCCGCGUGAGUGAAGAAGGCCUUCGGGUUGUAAAGCUCUUUUGUCAGGGAAGAGACACCGGCUCUAACACAGUCCGGGAGUGACGGUACCUGAAGAAUAAGCACCGGCUAACUACGUGCCAGCAGCCGCGGUAA
Molecule: ribosomal RNA, 501 nt
Filed under: uncultured bacterium
Lineage: Bacteria
Description: partial 16S ribosomal RNA
Rfam family: Bacterial small subunit ribosomal RNA
Source: RNAcentral